This 580-nucleotide ribosomal RNA is filed under the name Salmonella enterica. RNAcentral's name for it is "partial 23S ribosomal RNA". It matches the Rfam family "Bacterial large subunit ribosomal RNA", at positions 125 to 644 of the family's 2925-position model. The record is from RNAcentral. Lineage: Bacteria; Pseudomonadati; Pseudomonadota; Gammaproteobacteria; Enterobacterales; Enterobacteriaceae.
AACCCAGUGUGAUUCGUCACACUAUCAUUAACUGAAUCCAUAGGUUAAUGAGGCGAACCGGGGGAACUGAAACAUCUAAGUACCCCGAGGAAAAGAAAUCAACCGAGAUUCCCCCAGUAGCGGCGAGCGAACGGGGAGGAGCCCAGAGCCUGAAUCAGCAUGUGUGUUAGUGGAAGCGUCUGGAAAGGCGCGCGAUACAGGGUGAGAGCCCCGUACACAAAAGCGCACGUGCUGUGAGCUCGAUGAGUAGGGCGGGACACGUGGUAUCCUGUCUGAAUAUGGGGGGACCAUCCUCCAAGGCUAAAUACUCCUGACUGACCGAUAGUGAACCAGUACCGUGAGGGAAAGGCGAAAAGAACCCCGGCGAGGGGAGUGAAACAGAACCUGAAACCGUGUACGUACAAGCAGUGGGAGCCCCACCACUAAGCCAGUGGUGAACUCCACAUACGCAUCCUUUGCUGAGGAUACGGUUAACGGAGCGAGAGCGACGUUCAACCGCAAAAGAAGCAGAGGGGGCUUAGUGGUGGGGUGACUGCGUACCUUUUGUAUAAUGGGUCAGCGACUUAUAUUCUGUAGCAAG